RNAcentral lists this ribosomal RNA (509 nucleotides) under Gymnopternus angustifrons. Its description in RNAcentral is "partial 16S ribosomal RNA". It matches the Rfam family "Bacterial large subunit ribosomal RNA", at positions 1819 to 2597 of the family's 2925-position model. The record is from RNAcentral. Lineage: Eukaryota; Metazoa; Arthropoda; Insecta; Diptera; Dolichopodidae.
GUCUUUUUGAGUUUAAUUUAAAGUCUGAUCUGCCCACUGAUAAUAUUUAAGGGCCGCAGUAUUCUGACUGUGCAAAGGUAGCAUAAUCAUUAGUCUUUUAAUUGAGGGCUUGUAUGAAUGAUUGGACGAGAUAUAAUCUGUCUCAUAAAAAUUUAAGUAGAAUUUUAUUUUUUAGUUAAAAAGCUAAAAUAAAUUUAAAAGACGAGAAGACCCUAUAGAUCUUUAUAAUUUAUUUAUUAAUUUUUUUAGGUUAUUUUUUAAUUUUAUAAAUUAAAUUAUUUUGUUGGGGUGACAGUGAAAUUUAUAAAACUUUCAUAUUUUUUUUACAUUGAUUUAUGAUAAAUUGAUCCAUUUUUAGUGAUUAAAAAUUUAAGUUACCUUAGGGAUAACAGCGUAAUUAUUUUGGAGAGUUCUUAUCGAUAAAAUAGUUUGCGACCUCGAUGUUGGAUUAAGAUUAAUUCUGGGUGUAGCAGUUCAGGUUAUUAAGUCUGUUCGACUUUUAAUUUCUU